CCUUGUGACGUCAUUGCUUACGUCUGAGCUUUUGUCUGAAUGCUUUGCUGAGUCAUGGUGGGCCAUGUUGUCGGCCAUUUUUGUCUCUUUGCUGAUUCAUCUUGUAUUCCUUUCUUGGUCAAUAUGGGUCCUAUGGUUCUGCUUGCGUGAAAAAAUCAUCAUUGUCGGUGGAUAAAUCCACUGGAGAGGAGACAGAGCUUCUUGUUUCUUUUAUUUCUUCGAG
RNAcentral lists this long non-coding RNA (223 nucleotides) under Manihot esculenta (cassava). RNAcentral describes it as "long non-coding RNA (MESC_LNC001162)". Lineage: Eukaryota; Viridiplantae; Streptophyta; Magnoliopsida; Malpighiales; Euphorbiaceae. The record is from RNAcentral.